AACCUAGUGCACGGGCUUUAUGUGUAUCAGUGAGGAUUCGUCCGAGAUCACAUUUUUGCUAGUUGAAAACUAUAACUAUGACCGCUCCUCUCGGUUCUAGGACUGGGAGGGAAUCUUUGGAACAUGACUUU
Pseudogymnoascus pannorum is the source of this 131-nucleotide non-coding RNA. Lineage: Eukaryota; Fungi; Ascomycota; Leotiomycetes; Thelebolales; Thelebolaceae. The record is from Rfam.